CCCAGGAAUAAGAAAGCAACUGAAACAGUGUUUGGGACCAAUUCAAACCACAAAGGGAGGUACCACGCUGAUUGCCAGCUGGACGAGCGUGAGAAGAAAGCUUUGCUAAGACUCUCAGAAGAUUCACACUAUAUCCAUUUCCAGCGCUCCUCUCAGAUUCCCCAGGCAAAUGCCAAUCAAAGCUUCCUUUGUUGGUGAUAUGUACAUUCCUCCAUGAGCUAUAAAGGAUGUCUCAGCCAAGCUUCCUCACCACUGAGUCACCGACCAGGAUUGUUU
Molecule: long non-coding RNA, 276 nt
Organism: Chroicocephalus ridibundus (black-headed gull)
Lineage: Eukaryota; Metazoa; Chordata; Aves; Charadriiformes; Laridae
Exons: 4
Source: RefSeq, a predicted model, not a curated record